UUCUUUCUUGCCAUAUUUUUAUCAAUUUUUCACCAGAGUAUUCCUAGAGUGAAAACACUAACAACUUUUUUUUGCAAGUCCCUCGGGACCAUCACAAAUUGACAAAUUCAGACAAAAUCCAGAUGGUUGACCAUAGAUAGGAACAUCACAAAUACACACAAAGCAAACUACAAUAACAUUGUUCACCAUAGCUAAGAACUUCACCAUCUACUGAAUUAGCCUUGCCACCAAGCAUCAAUCCCGCGACAACAAUAAAUAAAGCAAGCAGCACGUGUGCGAGUUUGACAUUGUGCCUAUAUAUCCCAAUGAACUUCAGCUCGGCAGUAGCCUUCUGAAGUUGUUGCCGCACCGUCUUGAGCUCAUUCCUAAUCUCCAUAAACUCACUAUUAGCUUUUACCAAUUCCUC
RNAcentral lists this long non-coding RNA (406 nucleotides) under Setaria viridis. RNAcentral describes it as "long non-coding RNA (SVIR_LNC006765)". The record is from RNAcentral. Lineage: Eukaryota; Viridiplantae; Streptophyta; Magnoliopsida; Poales; Poaceae.